Molecule: long non-coding RNA, 1650 nt
Organism: Protopterus annectens (West African lungfish)
Lineage: Eukaryota; Metazoa; Chordata; Ceratodontiformes; Protopteridae
Exons: 3
Source: RefSeq, a predicted model, not a curated record
CAGCUCGCGCAUGUGACUCACUCGUACAGAAUGUUAGCAGCACGCAGCACGGGUUUUUUUUUCGCCUUGCAGUUCUGGAGAUGCGCACCGCCGUGCCGUAAACCUUUUGCCUCGAGACAACGGAGACGCUUCCGAGCAUUCCAAGAAUUCGAAACAACACGUCUCAUCUGGAUUGGCAGUCUGAUCUAAAUGUAACAACUUAGUAACCAUAAUGGAUUGUCUUGGUUUUGAGCGAAGGAGCAACACUUACUUUCAAAUCUGCUUAUCUGAUGGAAGUUCUUGGGAUCGUUUUAAUGGGACAGCUAUUUUCAUCACCGCAGAUCGGGUUUACACUUUUUAAACAGACCCCAAGUGCUUUCCCUGUCUUCGCAGUUCUCCAUAAUAUCUGCAUUCAAGCAAACAAACAAACAAAAAAAGUCGAGAUCCAAACAUUCAAGUUAAUUAGAGACCAAGACUGACUGUGAGAUGGCUAUGCUACUUUCUACAACACUGUGUGAAGGAUCAGUUGCUUUCCCACUUAUCCUGCACAAUGAAAAAUAGUCACUUAUUGAAUGCAAUGCUGAUGUCUGACUAUGAUGGAAAGUAAAAGAAAAUAUAGAUAUGUUACAUUUCUAUACACUGAACCCCCCCCCACAAACAUAAACAUGAGCCAUAACAAUGACAUUUUCACACCAAUUUCAGCUAAUACAGUACAGUGUUUAACACUGUUUGUGCCACACUAAAUCAGUGCUGUUUAACAGUGAUCUAACAACAGAAAGGGCAAGUAAUUUUUAUCUACAGGCAACCUCUGUGCCCAUUAAUUAUAAUUUAUUGACUGUGUAUAGCUCAAACAUCUGACUGCAAUAAAACAUGGCCACCAUAAAAUAUUUCAGCUUGCUUUGAUCAAGUGUACAUUAGUCUUGCAAAAUUAAGACUAAAUACUGUUUGACUUGAGGAUGACAGCAAGGUCAGUCAUUUUCAUCCACAUACAACCCCUAUAACAAGCAAUUAUUGAUACAUUGUUGUUUGUGUAUACCUCAGAUGCCCGAUUAUUGUAAAAAUAAGAACAAAGGAUUAUAUUUUUUUCUUCAAACAUCAUAGUUGCCACAGUGAAGCAUUACAGCUUACUUCAGACAAAUGCAGGCUAGUUUUGCAAAGACAGGUUAAAGAUGGUUUAGACUGAGCAGAUUAUGAGGCGUAGUUACUUGCAUUUACAUUUAAAACCCCACCCUGUCCAACUGUUAUAACCUUAUUUUUUGACUGUAUGUAUCACACGUCUGAUUUUUAUAAAAAAUAAUGGCCACAGCAAUGCAUUUUAGCUUUAACACAAGUAGUAACUAUAGUAAAGUUUUCCAACUUGCUUCAUACAAGUCACAUCAGCACUGUAAAGAAAGAAUAAUGAAAAAAUAACAGCAGUCAGUUCUGUGAAUAGAUAGUUCACAUGCAUGGCAGUUAUACUUAUUUUCUUGUCUGUGUACAUCUCAGAUGGAUCACAAUAAUUAAAAAAUAAAAAGCCACAGCAAUAUAUUUCAUCUCUGUUAAAAAAGGCAGAUACUGUAUUGCUCUCCAGCAACAGAAAAUUCUGUGGCAUUUGCGCUACAAAACUAUCACUGCCAUUAUCUGUUUAUCUGAUUAGAUUUAACUAAAAUAAACUUAGCUCAUUUUACCACA